ACCCGCUGAACUUAAGCAUAUCAAUAAGGCGGAGGAAAAGAAACUAACAAGGAUUCCCCUAGUAACGGCGAGUGAACCGGGAAGAGCUCAAAUUUGUAAUCUGGCGCGCUCCGUGCGUCCGAGUUGUAAUCUACAGAAGCGUUUUCCGUGCCGGACCGUGUCCAAGUCCCUUGGAACAGGGUAUCAAAGAGGGUGACAAUCCCGUGCUUGACACGACGACCGGUGCUAUGUGAUACGUUUUCUACGAGUCGAGUUGUUUGGGAAUGCAGCUCAAAAUGGGUGGUAAAUUCCAUCUAAGGCUAAAUAUUGGCGAGAGACCGAUAGCGAACAAGUACCGUGAGGGAAAGAUGAAAAGCACUUUGGAAAGAGAGUUAAACAGUACGUGAAAUUGUUGAAAGGGAAACGAUUGAAGUCAGUCGUGUCGGUCGGGUUCAGCCGGGUCUCCCGGUGUAUUCCCGGCCGACGGGUCAACAUCAGUUCUGGCCGGCGGACAAGGGCUGGGGGAAGGUAGCACCUCCGGGUGUGUUAUAGCCCCCUGUCGCAUACGUCGGCCUGGACUGAGGAUCGCAGCUCGCCUUUAUGGCAGGGGUUCGCCCACUUCCGAGCUUAGGAUGUUGACGUAAUGGCUUUAAACGACCCGUCUUGAAACACGG
Molecule: ribosomal RNA, 653 nt
Filed under: uncultured fungus
Lineage: Eukaryota; Fungi
Description: LSU rRNA
Rfam family: Eukaryotic large subunit ribosomal RNA
Source: RNAcentral